AGAUGAAAGGAGACUCCACACUCUCCGGGUGUGCGGGCAGAGCGGCAGCGCACAGGUGGCGCAGGUGGGCAACUAGCACAGGUGGUCAAGCGGGCCAGGUGGCGCAGGUGGGCAACUGGAGCAGAUAAUGCAAAUGGCGCAGUGGGGCAGGUGGCACAGAUAGGCAGGAGUCCCCGCGCCCUCGCUCACCUUUCCGCUGCAGGUACUGCAUCUGGAGCCGCAGGCUCGGGCGCUCCCGCAGCUCCUGCAGCACUCGGGAGUCGCCAGCGCCGCGGCCGCCCAGGAAUGCGUCGGAACCCGAGGUCUCGGUGGAGCUGUCCAGGCUGUCCCUUCGCAGGGGGCGGCCCUGGGACGCACGGUCCCCGCCGGCUGCCACCUCCUCCUCCUCGGUGCAGCUGUAGAGCUCGGUGAGCAACCCGCUCACUAGGGACGCCGUGCGGCUCGUGCGGCCGUCGGGCUGCGGCUCCAAGUCGCCCUCGUCCGCCGGGUGCCCCGCCGCCUCCUCGGAUUGCUGCGGGUCCCACGUCCUGCCCGCUGGAAGGACCUCCAUGGCUCGAACCGCCGCGGCGCCCGCCAGUUCCGGGAGGGCGCGGCCACGCGGGCAGCAAAGAGUCCCCAGCAGGGGUCGAAAUGCCAACCAAUGGGCGGAGGACCGGAGUUCCGGCUUCACGUCCGCGGGCGCCGCGCCCGAAUCCUUCCCACCUGACCCGGAGCGUCCAGGAGACUCCACAAAAACCUGACUAUCUGGCAAGUCCUGGGAUUUGAGUGACGUUGUGAACUUUUUUCCUCCAAUAAAAGACCUGGAUUCAGAACAACU
This 817-nucleotide long non-coding RNA is filed under the name Mus musculus (house mouse). RNAcentral's name for it is "predicted gene, 48435". Lineage: Eukaryota; Metazoa; Chordata; Mammalia; Rodentia; Muridae. The record is from RNAcentral.